GGUUCAUUGCUUUGUUGGAAGAUCUAGAAGGUGAUUCCUCUUUCGCUACCUAUGACACUUGCAUUCUAGGACUCUGUUCUUAUUCUUGCUACUGAAGUGAUCUGGCACAUCAAUCAUCAGUGAAGUAUUGCUCUGGAAUUCAUUGGUAAAUGGCUGUAGCUCCAAAACUGAACAUUGCUCUGACACCUGAAGAUGAGAAUCCUAAUUCAUUAAAUGCAAUUUUGGCUUAAUACAACUUGUUUGUUGAACCAUACACUUCAAGUUUAAGGCUUGUGGUACUUUGGUACAUGUAUUAGGCCUUGUGCCCUAUGUUACAAUUGUGAUUUUUCAAUUCUGAUCUGAAGGGUUUAUGGGAGAAUUAAUACUUUGUUUUGAUUGGUCCUAUUGUUACACCUGGAGUUCAAUUGCAAAUUCAAGAUUGAAUAAGAAAUAUGCUAAUCUCUACAUGAAAUGUAGCAUUAAUGGACAUCUUGCAAGUGACAUCAACUUUGGGUGGCAAUGAUACAGAAAAGAAGUGAGCAAUGGAGUUAGUAAUGAUAAAUGCUUGAACACAUUCAGUGUGGUGUGAAUUUUAUGAGAGAUAUCCAGGCCCUAGGGGGCUGGGCAUCUUUUUGGUUGGGACCUAAAAGAUACCUCAUAAGAUAUACCCUAACUUUGUGAAUUUUCUUAUUAUUUAUUCAUCUAAAUACGUGAAUUUUCUUAUUAUUUAUUCGUCUUAAUUUACCAUUCUUGUUUCCUAUAUUAUGAAGAUUUCAUUGAUUAAAGCUUCUUAUGACACGAGCAUUUUAUGCCUUUCAAGAAAGAAUAUGCUAUGAUUAAUAUUUUGCCUCUUUAAAUUUUAAAAGUUGGAAUACAGAUAUGUAGUGCUUUGUUCUUAGCUUCAAAUUUAUUUGUCUUGGCUAUCAGCGUGACAAUUGUUGUUGCCUAU
This 928-nucleotide unclassified non-coding RNA is filed under the name Hevea brasiliensis (rubber tree). Lineage: Eukaryota; Viridiplantae; Streptophyta; Magnoliopsida; Malpighiales; Euphorbiaceae. The record is from RNAcentral.